RNAcentral lists this ribosomal RNA (1522 nucleotides) under Escherichia coli. RNAcentral's name for it is "bacterial SSU rRNA". It matches the Rfam family "Bacterial small subunit ribosomal RNA". Lineage: Bacteria; Pseudomonadati; Pseudomonadota; Gammaproteobacteria; Enterobacterales; Enterobacteriaceae. The record is from RNAcentral. RNAcentral also lists the same sequence under 9 other names.
AGAGUUUGAUCAUGGCUCAGAUUGAACGCUGGCGGCAGGCCUAACACAUGCAAGUCGAACGGUAACAGAAAGCAGCUUGCUGCUUUGCUGACGAGUGGCGGACGGGUGAGUAAUGUCUGGGAAACUGCCUGAUGGAGGGGGAUAACUACUGGAAACGGUAGCUAAUACCGCAUAACGUCGCAAGACCAAAGAGGGGGACCUUCGGGCCUCUUGCCAUCGGAUGUGCCCAGAUGGGAUUAGCUUGUUGGUGGGGUAACGGCUCACCAAGGCGACGAUCCCUAGCUGGUCUGAGAGGAUGACCAGCCACACUGGAACUGAGACACGGUCCAGACUCCUACGGGAGGCAGCAGUGGGGAAUAUUGCACAAUGGGCGCAAGCCUGAUGCAGCCAUGCCGCGUGUAUGAAGAAGGCCUUCGGGUUGUAAAGUACUUUCAGCGGGGAGGAAGGGAGUAAAGUUAAUACCUUUGCUCAUUGACGUUACCCGCAGAAGAAGCACCGGCUAACUCCGUGCCAGCAGCCGCGGUAAUACGGAGGGUGCAAGCGUUAAUCGGAAUUACUGGGCGUAAAGCGCACGCAGGCGGUUUGUUAAGUCAGAUGUGAAAUCCCCGGGCUCAACCUGGGAACUGCAUCUGAUACUGGCAAGCUUGAGUCUCGUAGAGGGGGGUAGAAUUCCAGGUGUAGCGGUGAAAUGCGUAGAGAUCUGGAGGAAUACCGGUGGCGAAGGCGGCCCCCUGGACGAAGACUGACGCUCAGGUGCGAAAGCGUGGGGAGCAAACAGGAUUAGAUACCCUGGUAGUCCACGCCGUAAACGAUGUCGACUUGGAGGUUGUGCCCUUGAGGCGUGGCUUCCGGAGCUAACGCGUUAAGUCGACCGCCUGGGGAGUACGGCCGCAAGGUUAAAACUCAAAUGAAUUGACGGGGGCCCGCACAAGCGGUGGAGCAUGUGGUUUAAUUCGAUGCAACGCGAAGAACCUUACCUGGUCUUGACAUCCACGGAAGUUUUCAGAGAUGAGAAUGUGCCUUCGGGAACCGUGAGACAGGUGCUGCAUGGCUGUCGUCAGCUCGUGUUGUGAAAUGUUGGGUUAAGUCCCGCAACGAGCGCAACCCUUAUCCUUUGUUGCCAGCGGUCCGGCCGGGAACUCAAAGGAGACUGCCAGUGAUAAACUGGAGGAAGGUGGGGAUGACGUCAAGUCAUCAUGGCCCUUACGACCAGGGCUACACACGUGCUACAAUGGCGCAUACAAAGAGAAGCGACCUCGCGAGAGCAAGCGGACCUCAUAAAGUGCGUCGUAGUCCGGAUUGGAGUCUGCAACUCGACUCCAUGAAGUCGGAAUCGCUAGUAAUCGUGGAUCAGAAUGCCACGGUGAAUACGUUCCCGGGCCUUGUACACACCGCCCGUCACACCAUGGGAGUGGGUUGCAAAAGAAGUAGGUAGCUUAACCUUCGGGAGGGCGCUUACCACUUUGUGAUUCAUGACUGGGGUGAAGUCGUAACAAGGUAACCGUAGGGGAACCUGCGGUUG